UGCGCGAGUCAUUGGGACGAGCGAAACCUAAAGGCGCAAUGAAAGUGAAAGUCGGCCUCGCGCUGACCGAGGGAGGAUGGGUGGCGGCACCGUCGCCGCCCCGCACUCCCGGGGCGUCUCGUUCUCAUCGCGAGAAGAGGCGCACCCAGAGCGUACACGCUGGGACCCGAAAGAUGGUGAACUAUGCCUGGUCAGGACGAAGUCAGGGGAAACCCUGAUGGAGGUCCGUAGCGAUUCUGACGUGCAAAUCGAUCGUCGGAACUGGGUAUAGGGGCGAAAGACUAAUCGAACCAUCUAGUAGCUGGUUCCCUCCGAAGUUUCCCUCAGGAUAGCUGGCGCUCGCUUUGCGAGUCUCAUCCGGUAAAGCGAAUGAUUAGAGGCAUUGGGGUCGAAACGGCCUCAACCUAUUCUCAAACUUUAAAUGGGUGAGAUCUCCGGCUUGCUCGAACUUGAAGCCGCGAGAAUAUUCACUAAGGAUCAGAGUGCCAAGUGGGCCACUUUUGGUAAGCAGAACUGGCGCUGUGGGAUGAACCAAACGCCGAGUUAAAGCGCCUAAAUCGACGCUUAUGGGAUACCAUGAAAGGCGUUG
Molecule: ribosomal RNA, 589 nt
Filed under: Hydrochus megaphallus
Lineage: Eukaryota; Metazoa; Arthropoda; Insecta; Coleoptera; Hydrochidae
Description: LSU rRNA
Rfam family: Eukaryotic large subunit ribosomal RNA
Source: RNAcentral